GUCGACGGUGAACACGGAGCUUGCUCUGUGGGAUCAGUGGCGAACGGGUGAGUAACACGUGAGCAACCUGCCCCUGACUCUGGGAUAAGCGCUGGAAACGGCGUCUAAUACUGGAUAUGUGACGUGACCGCAUGGUCUGCGUCUGGAAAGAAUUUCGGUUGGGGAUGGGCUCGCGGCCUAUCAGCUUGUUGGUGAGGUAAUGGCUCACCAAGGCGUCNACGGGUAGCCGGCCUGAGAGGGUGACCGGCCACACUGGGACUGAGACACGGCCCAGACUCCUACGGGAGGCAGCAGUGGGGAAUAUUGCACAAUGGGCGCAAGCCUGAUGCAGCAACGCCGCGUGAGGGACGACGGCCUUCGGGUUGUAAACCUCUUUUAGCAGGGAAGAAGCGAAAGUGACGGUACCUGCAGAAAAAGCGCCGGCUAACUACGUGCCAGCAGCCGCGGUAAUACGUAGGGCGCAAGCGUUAUCCGGAAUUAUUGGGCGUAAAGAGCUCGUAGGCGGUUUGUCGCGUCUGCUGUGAAAUCCGGAGGCUCAACCUCCGGCCUGCAGUGGGUACGGGCAGACUAGAGUGCGGUAGGGGAGAUUGGAAUUCCUGGUGUAGCGGUGGAAUGCGCAGAUAUCAGGAGGAACACCG
RNAcentral lists this ribosomal RNA (638 nucleotides) under Microbacterium sp. Na-MWM57. Its description in RNAcentral is "bacterial SSU rRNA". It matches the Rfam family "Bacterial small subunit ribosomal RNA", at positions 61 to 711 of the family's 1533-position model. Lineage: Bacteria; Bacillati; Actinomycetota; Actinomycetes; Micrococcales; Microbacteriaceae. The record is from RNAcentral.